AGUGAACGCUGGCGGUAGGCCUAACACAUGCAAGUCGAACGGCAGCACAGUAAGAGCUUGCUCUUACGGGUGGCGAGUGGCGGACGGGUGAGGAAUACAUCGGAAUCUACUUUUUCGUGGGGGAUAGCGUAGGGAAACUUACGCUAAUACCGCAUACGACCUACGGGUGAAAGCAGGGGAUCUUCGGACCUUGCGCGAUUGAAUGAGCCGAUGUCGGAUUAGCUAGUUGGCGGGGUAAAGGCCCACCAAGGCGACGAUCCGUAGCUGGUCUGAGAGGAUGAUCAGCCACACUGGAGCUGAGACACGGUCCAGACUCCUACGGGAGGCAGCAGUGGGGAAUAUUGGACAAUGGGCGCAAGCCUGAUCCAGCCAUACCGCGUGGGUGAAGAAGGCCUUCGGGUUGUAAAGCCCUUUUGUUGGGAAAGAAAAGCAGCAGGUUAAUACCCCGCUGUUCUGACGGUACCCAAAGAAUAAGCACCGGCUAACUUCGUG
Molecule: ribosomal RNA, 492 nt
Filed under: uncultured bacterium
Lineage: Bacteria
Description: partial 16S ribosomal RNA
Rfam family: Bacterial small subunit ribosomal RNA
Source: RNAcentral